CUGAGAGGGUGAACGGACACAUUGGGACUGAGAUACGGCCCAAACUCCUACGGGAGGCAGCAGCUAAGAAUCUUCCGCAAUGGACGAAAGUCUGACGGAGCGACGCCGUGUGAAUGAAGAAGGCCGAAAGGUUGUAAAAUUCUUUUGCAGAUGAAGAAUAAGAAGAAGAGGGAAUGCUUCUUUGAUGACGGUAGUCAUGCGAAUAAGCCCCGGCUAAUUACGUGCCAGCAGCCGCGGUAACACGUAAGGGGCGAGCGUUGUUCGGAAUUAUUGGGCGUAAAGGGUAUGUAGGCGGUUAGGUAAGCCUGGUGUGAAAUCUACGAGCUCAACUCGUAAACUGCAUUGGGUACUGCUUGACUUGAAUCACGGAGGGGAAACCGGAAUUCCAAGUGUAGGGGUGGAAUCUGUAGAUAUUUGGAAGAACACCGGUGGCGAAGGCGGGUUUCUGGCCGAUGAUUGACGCUGAUAUACGAAGGUGCGGGGAGCAAACAGGAUUAGAUACCCUGGUAGUCCGCACAGUAAACGAUGUACACUAGGUGUCGGGGCAAGAGCUUCGGUGCCGACGCAAACGCAUUAAGUGUACCGCCUGGGAAGUAUGCCCGCAAGGGUGAAACUCAAAGGAAUUGACGGGGGCCCACACAAGCGGUGGAGCAUGUGGUUUAAUUCGAUGAUACGCGAGAAACCUUACCUGG
RNAcentral lists this ribosomal RNA (692 nucleotides) under Treponema denticola. RNAcentral's name for it is "bacterial SSU rRNA". It matches the Rfam family "Bacterial small subunit ribosomal RNA", at positions 292 to 978 of the family's 1533-position model. The record is from RNAcentral. Lineage: Bacteria; Pseudomonadati; Spirochaetota; Spirochaetia; Treponematales; Treponemataceae.